GAUGAAGAACGUAGCGAAAUGCGAUACUUGGUGUGAAUUGCAGAAUCCCGUGAACCAUCGAGUCUUUGAACGCAAGUUGCGCCCGAAGCCACUAGGCCGAGGGCACGCCUGCCUGGGCGUCACACGCCGUUGCCCCCCCAUCUACUCCUUCGGGAUUGCGGGGGGCGGAUGAUGGCCUCCCGUGCGCCUAGCCGCGCGGUUGGCAUAAAUACCAAGUCCUCGGCGACGCACGCCACGACAAUCGGUGGUUGCGAAACCUCGGUUGCCCGUCGUGUGCGUUCGUCGCGCAUCGAGGGCUCGAAAAAAUGAUCGGCUCCGGCUGGGCUUUCAACGCGACCCCAGGUCAGGCGGGGUUACCCGCUGAAUUUAAGCAUAUCAAUAAGCGGAGGA
RNAcentral lists this unclassified non-coding RNA (390 nucleotides) under soil metagenome. RNAcentral's name for it is "partial contains 5.8S ribosomal RNA, internal transcribed spacer 2, and large subunit ribosomal RNA". The stretch from base 1 to 122 matches the Rfam family "5.8S ribosomal RNA", at positions 35 to 154 of the family's 154-position model. The record is from RNAcentral.